Non-coding RNA from Vicugna pacos (alpaca), 2479 nucleotides. Lineage: Eukaryota; Metazoa; Chordata; Mammalia; Artiodactyla; Camelidae. The record is from RefSeq and is a predicted model, not a curated record.
CUUGCUAAAUGUGGGAGUAACCUACUUUCAAAACCCUGAGUGAUGCUCUCAGCUAUCUCUAACUAUAUUCCAGCAGCGGGCAUUCUGGGAAACUCCACUCCAAUCCCAGGCAUCUUUGCUGUGGGCUUGGAAAGGAGAAUGGAGGGGAUGUAAUGAUCAUCUGGCUCCCUGCUCAGAACACGUCAGUACAGUGUUCUCAUUCACUUCUCUUCUCCCCAGAAUCUAGUUUUUAACGGCCCUACUAUUUCAUUCCUUAGCAUCCUAUGAGGCUCCUAAGGGUGUCCUGGACAAGUCGGGGGGAAAGCGACUACAAUGAGCUAUUAAUCAAUGAAGCAGCUGGCAUGGCCCCUGCCCUGACUGUUCCCUGAAAGGCCAGGCCGGUCUAGGGAACACCACCAGAAGGUUUGGAGUUGGCGGAAAGGAUGGUGGGAGGCACGUGGUAGCAGGUAAGGAAACUGAGGCAUAACGAAGUUAAGUGACAUAGAAGAGAAAGCUAAAAAUUCCCCAUAAGAUCAUGCUGAGAAUAACUACGUAUAACCAACAUGGACUCCUUAUUUCUGACUUAAUGGAAGGCUACUUGCCUCAUGCAUGCAUUUAUUCUUUCAAAAACCAUUUCGCCACAACUGCCCUAGGGCUAGUCAUGCACUGACGGACUUUUUCUGAUAACUGCUUUAGUCAUCAAAUGCAGAAGGAACUUCAGGCCAGGGGAAGGAGAAGGAGGCUGAAAUCCACUGCCAUCCUGUAUCCUUAUUCCCAAAUCUAGCCAUACCAGAGACAGAAAUCCAAACAAAAACUCAAGGUCUUGCCAAGAGCCAGCUUUGGACGUGAGGGUAUUAAAAAAUAACAACCAAAAAGCAGCCGCUCCUUCUGCUUGGGAGCAGUUAUUUCAAUGACUGACAUAUGUCCUGGAGGAACAAGUGUCAUCUUACUAAUGGGCUCUCAUUAGUGAUGGCAGCAACUAUAAAACACAUACACACCAUGCACGUUUAAUGACAUGGGAAAGUGCUCAUGAUGUAUUAGAGGAGAAAAGAAAACCACAAAACAGAAUGUGUGUGUGUGUGUGUGUGUGUGGAGGGGGGGUUGAUGGCAAACAUUGUUCCAAAGAAAAAAGCACCCAUAUGCAUUGAAAAAGCACUGGAAAUUUUUUGAGAAACAAACAACUUAGUAAUCUUGCCUAAAGAGAGGUUAUAGGGGAUAUUCCUUUUUUUUCUUUUAGUUCUCCAGAUUUCCACAAAGGACAUGUAUUAUGGAUAUGCUCAGAAAAAAGUCCAUAAUAUUAUUAUUUUUUUAAGCUGUACAAAGUGAUUAGUGGUUGAGAGGCAGCAGAUUAUAUUCAGGUAAAAUUCAAAGUUUCUAAUUAUCUUUUAAAAAGGAAGGAAACAAAUAUUUAUUGGCUAGGCAUUUUCUCUUACAUUACCUUAUGCAAAAGGGCUUUGUAAGGUCAGUAUUCUAUUGCUGUGGGGCAGUAAAUAUGAUGCCAAGGUCCCUGGACUGUUAAGGGGUGGAAUGUCCAAUUCUGCCGACUCCCAGACUCAGACUCUUCUCCAGGCCAAUGGUGUUCCACCAGUUUAUUCUCUAACAUGAGCGUAAUACCGUACUUUCAUCUGUAGCUCUUUGAAGCAAUGAUGGAGAGUAAGAAGGGGAAGGGAGGCAGGGGGUAAAUCUCAGAAGCUGCUGAAGCUCCCAGAUAAUCCGAUCUGCUCUGACUCUCCCCCCUGGCCACCCAGGGGGCGGUAUUAUGGGGGUGGCGAGGGGGCGCUGAGUCAGCAGCAUGAUUUCCAGGGUAGUGAGAAGCCCAUGACGGCAGCAGAAUACGUCUCCAGAGACAUCCUUUGGCUUAACAUUCCUUGUGCCUUUAGCUAAAAUGCAAAUGACUCUGAGCACAAAAAUGCCUUAAGCCUUAUCACUUCAGAAUAUAAGUAAGUUUGUCAACUGCUCUCCCAAGUGGACGAAGGGGAUGGUUAUGAACACCCUGAGGAAGACAGAUACACAGAAGGCGAGGAGGGCAUUGAAAAGCCACUGGAGUCUCCUUGCCCUUCUCUGUGGCCCUGCCUGCCAAUGGCUGGCCUUGAUUAUAAUAUUUAGGUUUCUGUGUUUAUAUCCUGUCAAGGGAAAGCAGAAUAUCACAUUCUAUCAAGUCACUUGAAAAGAACCACUGAUUUACAACUCCAAGGCACUAACAGAGUGUUUGAUUUAAAGGAGUGUAUCUAUGUAACUGUAAUAAACACACCACACUCCAGAAAGUCUACAGAUAGCUUCUCUCUGAGUAAAUGGCAAAGAAGUCCGAGGGCUUGUUUAUAUUCCUUCCUUUCCCUAAGGGUUAUCAGGGCCUUUUUCAUCACCUUGAAGGGAAAACAAAUGAUCAAAAGAUGGAUGACCCCUCGUCCCUUCCAUAUCUCCUUCUUGGUAUGUCAGAAAGCUUUCCAGCAAGGCAGGGCCAGCUAAUUAUUUUCUUCUAAUCAAUCAGCUAUUUUAAUGA